Molecule: non-coding RNA, 2358 nt
Organism: Cyanistes caeruleus (blue tit)
Lineage: Eukaryota; Metazoa; Chordata; Aves; Passeriformes; Paridae
Source: RefSeq, a predicted model, not a curated record
GGGUGGUGACGCGGCACGGCCGCGCGCCUGCCCAAAUCAUGGAGUCAGUCAUAGAGUCAGUCACGGAGUGGUGGAAUCGUCAAUAUUGGAAAAGACCCGCAAAAUUAUCUAGUCUGACCAUCCACCCGGCACUGCCACUGUGACCCCAUAACCACUAAGCUGCGUCACCCAGUGCCAGAUCCAGUCGCCUCUUGAGCACCUCCAGGGAUGGUGACUACCGCCUUCCUGGGCAACCUAUUCCAACACCUGCCCACCCUAACAGUGAAUUUUUUUUCUUAUAUCUAAUUAGAAUCUCCCUUGUCUCAGCUAAGGCCAUUUCCUCUUGUCCUCACUGCAGGCACGGAAGAACAGAGCACUCCCCACCUCACCUCUCUUCUCAGAGAGUUGUAGUGAGAAUGAUGUCCCCUCCCAAAGCCUCCUUUUCUUCAGUCCAAACACCCCCAGGUUCCUAGCUGCUCCUCAUAGGAUAUAUUCUAUGUGCUGGCCAGGCAGCUCUGCUGCACUUAGGGCAGGGGUCUUACCACCGUGUGCCUGGGGUUGAGGUAAGACCUGGGCCCACAGCCUUGUUAUCUCCGCUCAGUGCUCCAGGACGGUCUCCCUGCCCUUCAUCCUCCCUGUUGGCAUGAGGGGCAGUGCUGACCCAAGGCACCAUCCUUUGAGUCAAAAACUGAAAAGUCAGCUUCGGCUUCCUGCCCUCAUAAAUAGGAUCAGUGCCACUGUAGAGAUGUAAUAAUGCACAAGAAUUUUGAGAGCUUCUCUCAAUGGAGCCUUGUGUGCCAACCACCACUUUUGGGAGCUGUUCUGCUCUGCACUCCUGCUCUGCUGUCAGGAGGCAUGAGUGAAUCAGUGCAGUCAGUACAGAAUCACAGAGUGGGUAAGACUGGAAGACAGCACAGCAGGUCAUCUAGUCCAACCCCCUGCUCAGGGUCAUCCCAGAGCACAUGGCACAGGACUGCAUCCAGACAGUUUUUGAAUAUCUCCAGUCAGGGAGACUCUACAGACUUUCUGAGAAAUCUGUUCUAGUCCUCAGUUCUUCCUCAUAUUCAGGUGGAACUUCCUGCACAUCAGUUUCUGCUUGGUGCCUCUUGUUCUGUUGCUUGGCACCACUGAGAAGAGUGUGGCUCCCUCUGACUUGACACCCAGCCUUUAAAUAUUUAUACAUAGGGAUGUUGUUGUUUUCCCCUAGGAGCUAAUCUGACUGCCCUAAAUAGAAUAACAGAAUCAGUUAGGCUGGGAAAGACCUCUGAGGUCAGAGUCCAACCUUUGACUAAACACCACCAUGCCAACUACACCAUGGCACCGGGUACCAUUUACAGUCUUUUCUUAAGCACCUUCAGGCAUGAGGACUCCACCCCCACCCAGGGCCACGGGUUCCAGUGGUUAACACCCUUCCCGUGGAGGAGCAAUCACCGCGUGGAACACAGAGUGGAAGUAUGUACUUGUGUUAGCAGGCACUGCUCAAGCUAAUGCAACAUUGAAAGUCCAUAUUUCUUACUUCAUUGGCACUUCUGCGUUAAAGUCUGUUUUGUGAGGAACUCUCUAGUCCUUCCUAUGCAGUCGCUCUAAAUCCACAUUCACCUUACAGAGAAUCCAGGGAGAUGCAACCUAGGAUCCCAAGGGAACAAGACUGCUUGUAAACCUGUGAUGAGAGAUGACAAGACGUUCCUCUGGCAGCAGGAUAACCAAGGGGCAAUAUUGAAGCUGGGACCUGAUGCUCUCAGGUGUGAGAGGACUGGCAAGAAAGGGCAUGUUACAGUUGCCCAAUUAUGUUUCACAACAAGACAGAAAGAAAACUCACAGGCUGAGUUUAUCUCUAGAAAUCUAAGUAUUUGAGAUUUUUUCAUGGAUUGAAACUAUAUAUAAAAUAUAUUUUAUCACUCUAAUUAUAAUACACAGGUCUUUCAGUUCUCUUUAGGUAGUAAGAUUUUUAAGGGAAAAGUAGAUCCUUCACUGGUUUUCUAUUGCUUAAAAGCUACUGAUGUCUAUAGCCUCUACAUUAUCUUAUUGUGAAAGCAAUUCCCAAUUACCUCCCUUAAAAUUACAGUACUUGUAGAAAUUAAUCACAUCAUUAUUCUAUAUGAAUAGAUUUCUUCCUGAGUGUCCCCAAAAUAGAGGUUAGUUAUGUGGCUAAUGCACUUUUUUUAUGUAUUUGUUGUAGAUACACAUCCAGGUUGGGUAAUGUAAAAAAUUGACCAGGAACAUAAAUGCAAGAUGAAAUCACCAGUCUCCUAAGUGUUGCAGUUCAUGAGAAAUAUUUUAAAAGCCAAAUUAUUUCAAUAUACCAUGCUUGUAUGUAUGCUUUUAACAAUGCUUUAUUUUGGGAAACCUAAAGACUUAAUGCAAGUGCAAAACCAUAAA